Molecule: unclassified non-coding RNA, 347 nt
Filed under: soil metagenome
Description: partial contains 5.8S ribosomal RNA, internal transcribed spacer 2, and large subunit ribosomal RNA
Rfam family: 5.8S ribosomal RNA (bases 1-120)
Source: RNAcentral
GAUGAAGAACGUAUCGAAAUGCGAUAACUAAUGUGAAUUGCAGAAUUCCGUGAAUCAUCGAGUCUUUGAACGCACAUUGCGCCCCCUGGUAUUCCGGGGGGCAUGCCUGUCCGAGCGUCAUUGCUGCCCAUCAAGCACGGCUUGUGUGUUGGGUCCCGUCCCCCUCUCCCGGGGGACGGACCCGAAAGGCAGCGGCGGCACCGCGUCCGGUCCUCGAGCGUAUGGGGCUUUGUCACCCGCUCUUGUAGGCCCGGCCGGCGCUUGCCGACACCCAACCAUUUUUUUCAGGUUGACCUCGGAUCAGGUAGGGAUACCCGCUGAACUUAAGCAUAUCAAUAAGCGGAGGA